UAAAUAUCAAGAAGAGGUUAGGGAUCUGGCCCGUUGACCCUCUACCAACCUACCCGAGCUUGUCGGGGAAGGUGGUAAUUCCAGCCCAUGAUGGGAAAGAUACGUU
RNAcentral lists this non-coding RNA (106 nucleotides) under Candidatus Magasanikiibacteriota. Its description in RNAcentral is "Candidatus Magasanikbacteria SAM-I sequence". It matches the Rfam family "SAM riboswitch aptamer (S box leader)". Rfam says of the family: The SAM riboswitch is found upstream of a number of genes which code for proteins involved in methionine or cysteine biosynthesis in Gram-positive bacteria. The SAM riboswitch acts at the level of transcription termination control. The record is from RNAcentral.